RNAcentral lists this ribosomal RNA (668 nucleotides) under actinobacterium 00YK5. Its description in RNAcentral is "bacterial SSU rRNA". It matches the Rfam family "Bacterial small subunit ribosomal RNA", at positions 194 to 869 of the family's 1533-position model. Lineage: Bacteria; Bacillati; Actinomycetota; Actinomycetes. The record is from RNAcentral.
GGGAGGGUGAAAGCUCCCGCGGUGAAGGAUGAGCCCGCGGCCUAUCAGCUUGUUGGUGGGGUAAUGGCCCACCAAGGCGACGACGGGUAGCCGGCCUGAGAGGGCGACCGGCCACACUGGGACUGAGACACGGCCCAAACUCCUACGGGAGGCAGCAGUGGGGAAUAUUGCACAAUGGGCGAAAGCCUGAUGCAGCGACGCCGCGUGAGGGAUGACGGCCUUCGGGUUGUAAACCUCUUUCAGCAGGGAAGAAGCGAAAGUGACGGUACCUGCAGAAGAAGCGCCGGCUAACUACGUGCCAGCAGCCGCGGUAAUACGUAGGGCGCAAGCGUUGUCCGGAAUUAUUGGGCGUAAAGAGCUCGUAGGCGGCUUGUCACGUCGGGUGUGAAAGCCCGGGGCUUAACCCCGGGUCUGCAUCCGAUACGGGCAGGCUAGAGUGUGGUAGGGGAGAUCGGAAUUCCUGGUGUAGCGGUGAAAUGCGCAGAUAUCAGGAGGAACACCGGUGGCGAAGGCGGAUCUCUGGGCCAUUACUGACGCUGAGGAGCGAAAGCGUGGGGGAGCGAACAGGAUUAGAUACCCUGGUAGUCCCACGCCGUAAACGUUGGGAACUAGGGUGUUGGCGACAUUCCCACGUUCGUCGGUGCCGCAGCCUAACGCAUUAAGUUCCC